GACGAACGUUGGCGGCGUGCCUAACACAUGCAAGUCGAACGGAGAUAGCAAUAUCUGAGUGGCGCACGGGUGAGUAACACGUAGCUUACCUACCCUAAAGAGCGGGAUAACGUUCCGAAAGGAAUGCUAAUACCGCAUAAGCUCACGAUCUACAGAGGGUUGUGAGAAGAGGAGCAAUCCGCUUUAGGAUGGGGCUGCGG
RNAcentral lists this ribosomal RNA (200 nucleotides) under uncultured bacterium. RNAcentral describes it as "partial 16S ribosomal RNA". It matches the Rfam family "Bacterial small subunit ribosomal RNA", at positions 28 to 236 of the family's 1533-position model. The record is from RNAcentral.